AUACCCUUGACAAUUUGACCUCAAAUCGGGUGGGACUACCCGCUGAACUUAAGCAUAUCAAUAGCGGGAAGGAAGAC
RNAcentral lists this ribosomal RNA (77 nucleotides) under Sebacinales sp. 4035. Its description in RNAcentral is "partial 28S ribosomal RNA". Lineage: Eukaryota; Fungi; Basidiomycota; Agaricomycetes; Sebacinales. The record is from RNAcentral.